AACCCAAACUUUUUUUUUCCAUUAAGAUCAAAACGAAGAGAGUCCUGUCCCGUCCCGUAUCAUCCCCCCUCCGGUCCCCCACUCCCCCUCCCCCCCAGCAUGGCAACGUGGCUUUGCCACUGUCAGCAGUUCGUUGAGGGAGUGGGCAGGGAAAGCAGGCUGCAUGCACUCCACCCACGAAAGGCUUGGGAUCUUGAUCCUAGCAGCAGCCACCAAGCCAGACCAACUGGCAGUGGUCUGCUUGUGCCACACCAUCGCAGGACUCCAGCUGGGUGGGCAUUUGUGGGCAGCUUUGGCUUAGCUUUCGAAUGGGGAAACUGAGGUUCAGCACGUUAAGAGGAAAGGGCUGUGGAUAGUGCUGGUGAGUCUGAUCCGAGCCUGUGGCCUCUCUAACUACAUGCACCUCAGUCUUGGGAACUGCAGCAGCUGCAUCUGUCCUGAAACUCUUAAGGUCACUUGUGCCCUUCUGGAAGGUUCUGGAGCUGCUCUGCACGUCUGAAAGAAGCCAGAAACCUCUGUGGCUUGCAUAUGAUUCAGGGGAGGAAAUGGGCCCCUCUUACAAAGACAAGUAGACCUGGAGAGGUGGAAAAUUGGAGCCUUAACUUCCCAGGGCUCCCUGGGAGACUUUCCUCUCAUGCUGGUCAUUUGCAGCUUUACUGAGACAAGCAGGACAGAAUCCAUCUUCUACUUUGGAGGUUUUUGAAAUUGAAACACAAAAUGCCCAUCUUCCUGUUUUCCUGGAUUGGCUCUUCACCCAUCCGAUAAAGACUUAUUAUCUUGUAAAUAUCAGAUCCUGCUUUGGGCUCCCGAGGAUUCCUUAGAUAAGACCUUGACCUUGCCAGGCUACCGAGGUACUCCUCUCUCACCAGAGAGCAGUUAGGAUGAUGCCAGGGCCAGAGUCUAUCUACUUCUUCCAGCUGCUCCUGGAGAGACUUCCCCACCAAAUGAAGGCAUGGAGGAUGCUGCUCCUCUCCAAUCUGGAGACAUCUGCAUCUUUUCCCAAGAUGCCAGCUUUGCUUGUCCUUGAGACAUGAUUUGAUCUUACUGGUUACCUGCUGACCAGAGAGCUCCCUUCAACUACAGUAAAGUGGAUAUUGUUGCCAUCACUGAUCCCUUUAUUGACCUCAAAUUACAUGGUCUGUAUGUUUUAGUAUGACUGUAUCCAUAGCAAGUUCCAUGACACAGUCAAGACUAAGAUGGGAAACUUGUCAUCAAUGGAGAAGCCCUCUCCAUGUUCCAGGAGUGAGAUCCGGCCAACGCCAAAUAGGGGGAUGCUGAUGCUGGGUAUGUUGUGAAGUCUGGCUUCCUCCCUGCAAUGGAGAAGGCUGGGGACCACUUGAAGGGUGGGGCCAAAGGGUCAACAUCUCUGCCCCUUCCACCGAUGCCUCAUGUUUGUGAUGGGUAUGAACCAUGAGAAGUAUGACAUCUCACCCAAGAUUGUCAGCCAUGUUUCCUGCACUGCCAACCAUUUACCCCUUGGCCAAGGUCAUUCAUGACAAGUUAGGCAUUGUAGCAGGACUCAUGACCACAGUCUAUGCUGUCACUCCACUCAGAAGACUGUGGAUAGCCUCUCUGGGAAGCUGUAGCAUGAGGGCCAUAGGACUUCCCAGAACACCUGCAUCCACUGGUGUUGCCACAGCUGUGGGCAAGGUCAUCCCAGAGCUGAACAGGAAGCUCACUGUCACGGCCUUCCCUGUUUCUGUCUGCAAUGUGUCUGUCAUGGAUCUGACAUGUCGCCUGGAGAAAGCUGCCAAGUAUGACAACAUCAAGAACGUGGUGAAGCAGGCAUCGGAGAACCCUCUAAAGGGCAUCCUGGGCUACACCGAGGACCACGGAUCCUACAGCUUUAACAGUGACUCCUGCUCCUCUAUCUUCGAUGUUGGGGCUGACAUUGAUCUCAUUGGCAACUCUGUAAAACCAUGUCCUGGUAUAACAGCAAAUACAGCUAUAGCAAUGCAGUGGUGAAACUCAUGGCCUACAUGGCCUCCAAGGAGUAUGAAGUCCUGGCCCACCACCCCCAUCAGGGACAUGAGAGGAAGUGAGAGGCCCUAAGCUGCGGAGGAGUCUCUUCCCAACCAGCUGGAAACACUGACCAUCCCUCACAGAUCCCAGAAGAAGGGGAGGGGCAUAAGAAAACACACUCUCUUGAAUACCAUCAGUAAAGUUCACUGAAGUCCUUCCAAACCCUCCCACCAAAAAAGGCAUGGAGGGAGAGGGUCUGACCCACUGACACAGGAAUGUUCUGGAAGAGCAUUUAUGAGGUGGAUUCAGGGUAAAUUGGGCCUUUUGUCUUCUGUACUAGGAAUGAGACAGGGUGAGAAGAGAGGCCCAGGAAGCAGUGGCGGUUUCCUGGGCUACCUUAUUCAUCUCUGUGGAAUGGAAGCUGGCUGCCUCAUCCCUAACCUGAUUAUAGCAAGCCAGAGACAGCUAUCUCUCCUCUUCUUAAUGGGCCUUUAUGACCUCUCUCCUCUUUUCUAAAGGCUGACAGGGGGCUGUGGGUUAUAUCGUCUUCAUUUUCUGGAGAUCGGGAAGGGAUAAACUGUGACACAGCCAAGGCUGGAUAAGUGCCUCCUGCAGUGCUUUUGGUCUUAGCCAGGCACAGGACACUGCCCGUGUGCCUUGCUGUGCCCUCCAGCCCCAAGUGUGCAGCAGUCUGGGUUCCUGCCCAGGUUGACUUGUCCCUCCUAUGUAUUCUUCCCUGGCCUUAAGCUCAGGCUCCUGCGAGAAACUAAUGAGUGUUUCUGCUCUGUAGUUACAAGUCAGAAAACAACUGGCUCCCCGCUCGUCCUGGCUCAGGCUGUGGAGCUCUCUGCACCUGGUGUUUGGAACCCUGUGAGCCGAAGAACCAGGCUGAGGAAGGAAACACAGGGCUAGUGCAUUUCCUGGACCUGACAUCAUCUCUCCUGGGCCAGUACUUUUGCCUGAGGGAAGGAGACUUGAGGUAGUCUCUGGCUCAGAAACCCUGAUUAGGCCUGAGUCACUCUCUCCAUGAGCUUGUGUGGGAAACUACUUUGGCUGAAGUGUGGGGUGAGGCCAGGGUUUGCAGAAAACAAAUGGGGGGGAAGGAACCUCUAAAGACAAAGAGGGGUUCCCAGCUCCAUGGAAAGCUGAAUUUAAAGCAACCAAGGGCCCAAAGCCGGACAGCCUAUUCUGAUAUAAAGAAAAGCCCACAAUGCACUAACUCGAGGCCUAGCCCAUAUGCCCCCACUUAGCCUGCUCCCCAAGGCACACAAGGAAUCAAAGGUGGCUACCCCAGGAGCUCAAGGGACUGAACUGGCUAUUCUCUCCCCCUGGGUGGGCAGGCAGCAGGAUGUCCAUGGCUGAGGGGAAGAACUAGCCACAGGUAAGAAUGAUGUGGGGUGAGGAUCCCUUCUUCCCUGUGUUCCCUCUCUGAAGAGGACACCCUCAGCCAUCCCUCUGUCUGUAAACCGUGGUCACCUCUGGUUUCCUAGACUCCUGGAACAUUCUUUUCUCAAAGAAAAGGACUCUUUACCUUACUAGAUCUAACUGGGGAACUUGAGAUUGUAAGUAAGCCCUGCAGACCCACCCCUACCUUCAAUCUAUGCUUGGUGUAUAUCUCUCUGAUGGUUUCAAGCAUUUAGAUUUUUAAUUUGGACCCUUUGUUUUUUGGGGGCUUUUUUUGUUGUUUGUUUGUUUUGUUUUGUUUUUAGAUAUGGGAAAUUUAAAAGAAAUGAAACCAAAUGCCCCUGCCCCAAAGCAACAGUCAUUCACAUUCUUACCAUUCAUAGUAAACUGCCAUUUGUGUUUUGGCUCCGUGUGUGUGUGUGUGUGUGUGUGUGUGUGUGUGUGUGUGUGUGUGUGUGUGUGUGUGCUUCUAUAAUGAGCACUGUUUUUAAAAGCAUGCAACAGGCUGGAGAGAUGGCUUCGUGUUUAAGAGCGCAUUUUGAUCUUCCAGGAGACCUGAGGUCUGUUCGAAGCACUCACACGGGGCAGUUCACAACAGCCUGUAACUUCAGUCCCAGGGGAAUCUCAUGCCUCUGCCUCUGUGGGCAUCUGCAUUCUUGGCACAUAUCCUUUCUCCUCUGCCUACAUACACAUAAUUAAAAAUUAAAAUAAAAUAUUUAAAAGCA
This is a non-coding RNA of Rattus norvegicus (Norway rat), 4091 nucleotides long. The record is from RefSeq and is a predicted model, not a curated record. NCBI's taxonomy places the organism in Eukaryota, Metazoa, Chordata, Mammalia, Rodentia, Muridae.